This 614-nucleotide ribosomal RNA is filed under the name uncultured bacterium. RNAcentral describes it as "bacterial SSU rRNA". It matches the Rfam family "Bacterial small subunit ribosomal RNA", at positions 757 to 1371 of the family's 1533-position model. The record is from RNAcentral.
AAGCGUGGGGAGCAAACAGGAUUAGAUACCGUGGUAGUCCACGCAGUAAACGAUGAAUGUUAGUCGUUGAGACUCUAGUAGUUUCAGUGAGACAGUUAUCACAUUAAACAUUCCGCCUGGGGAGUACGGUCGCAAGAUUAAAACUCAAAGGAAUAGACGGGGACCCGCACAUGUGGUGGAGCAUGUGGUUUAAUUCGAAGAUACGCGAAGAACCUUACCUAGCCUUGACAUACUACAGAAUUUGACAGAGAUGUUGAAGUGCCUUCGGGAGCUGUAAUACAGGUGCUGCACGGCUGUUGUCAGCUCGUGUCGUGAGAUGUUGGGUUAAGUCACGCAACGAGCGCAACCCUCGUCGUUAGUUACUAUCGGUUUGGCCGAGGACUCUAAGGAGUCUGCCUUCGUAAGGAGGAGGAAGGUGAGGACGACGUCAAGUCAUCAUGGGCCUUACGGCUAGGGCAUCACACGUGCUACAAUGGGUAGGACAAUGAGAAGCGAUACCGCGAGGUGGAGCAAAUCUAUAAACCUAAUCUCAGUUCGGAUAACAGUCUGCAACUCGACUGCUUGAAGCUGGAAUCACUAGUAAUCGUAAAUCAGGUAUGCUACGGUGAAUACGU